GGGAGACGGCAGGAAUGUUCUCCUGGCCUGCUGGUCUGUGCCGGCGAGUGUGCUGAGAGGAGGGCCUCUGGACAUCAAAGGUUCCUUUUGUCCCCUUCCGAGUGGCAGGGCAGCCCGGCCCGGGCUGCUGGCGAUGACUCAGGCCUGGCCCUGACGUCACCCACACCCGGCCACUGGCCUCCCUCUGAAGCCAGGAAACUAGUUGGGGAGUGGCACUCGCAGCUGCAGCAAAUCUCAAACUAAAGAGGCAACGGCCUUUCUCUUCCUCUCCAUCUCCCUAUAGCACACCUUUUAUUUCUUUUCUUCUUUUUUUUAAGCCUCACGAAAGAUUUUACUUGUAGAUCAACUUUCAAAAUGUAGGAAGUCAGAAUGGGUGACAUCAUCAGAAAAAUAUGUGGAGCUGAUCACCACAAGAAGUGAAGAACCCAGAGCACGAAAGCGGUUGUGACUCCUGGGCCCAGGGAGUUGACAGCGUCUGGGCUUCAGAGGAGCCAGCGCCUCCGAGUUGUCUUGAAGUGAGGCUCUGCCGUAGUCCUGUCCUUCUGGCUCUAAGAUCUGAAUGUUGUGACCACUAAUUUGCUCUUUCCUGGAGGGUAACCCCAGUUUGGUCCACAAGGCUUGCUGCCCAAUCCUUGCCAACAGUUGAACCAAGACUCUGAGGCUGAUAUGCAAUGUCACUUACAACAUUAAUCAGAUACUGCAUUUAAGUACAGACGGGGUUUCACCAUGUUGGCCAGGAUGGUCUCAAUCUGUUGACCUUGUGAUCCGCCUGCCUCAGCCUCCCAAAGUGCUGGGAUUACAGGCGUGAGCCACCACGCCCAGCCUGAACUUUCCAUUUCUAUCCCAAGCCUCCUAUUCUACAUGCUGAGGAUGCCAGAGGGCCCCCUUACCACCACUCCCCACCACACCCUACCACCCUCCUCCCCAUCACUGUACUAGAUCUGAAUUAAACAUUAAAUGAAAUAA
RNAcentral lists this small RNA (966 nucleotides) under Pongo abelii (Sumatran orangutan). Its description in RNAcentral is "processed transcript". Lineage: Eukaryota; Metazoa; Chordata; Mammalia; Primates; Hominidae. The record is from RNAcentral.